Molecule: ribosomal RNA, 723 nt
Filed under: Triticum aestivum (bread wheat)
Lineage: Eukaryota; Viridiplantae; Streptophyta; Magnoliopsida; Poales; Poaceae
Description: partial small subunit ribosomal RNA
Source: RNAcentral
AUGGCGAGCAGCAUGGGGGGAGGGAACGCAGGGGAAGGGGAGUGGCUCAAGGUCGCCGAGCUGAGGGCCAUGGCGGAAGCCCAGGACCCGCAUGUCAAGGAGGUGGACAACCUGACGCUCCGGCGGUUCCUGCGGGCGCGCGGCCAUGCCGUCGGCAAGGCCUCGGCGAUGCUCCUCAAGUUCGUGGCGUGGAGGCGGGAGGCCGUGCUGGGCGGCGUCAUGCCGGCGGAGCUGGUGCGGACGGAGCUGUCGCACGAGAUGGCCUACAUGGCCGGGGCCGACCGCGCCGGCCGCCCCGUCAUGCUCGCCUUCCCCGCCAAGCACUUCUCUGCCACCCGCGACAUGGCCGGCUUCAAGCGCUAUGUUGUCUACUUGUUCGACGCCAUGUGUGCCAGGAUCCCUAGAGGGCAGGAGAAGUUUCUGUGCGUCGUGGAUCUAAAGGGGUGGGGGUACGCCAACUGCGACGUCCGCGCCUACAUCGCGGCCAUCGAGAUCCUGCAGAGCUACUACCCGGAGAGGCUGGGCAAGGCGCUGAUGAUCCAUGUGCCCUACCUGUUCAUGAAGGCGUGGAAGGUGGUUCAGCCCUUCAUCGACGCCAACACCAGGGACAAGUUCGUGUUCGUGGACGACAAGAGCUUGGAGGAGACGCUGCGGCGGGAGAUGGAGGACGGCCAGCUCCCGGAGAUGUACGGCGGGAAGAUGCCCAUUGUUCCCCUCGAGUAG